GUUCAACAUGCCAAGGUGCCAUACUUUUGUAUGGCAUGUGCUGAAUCCCAUCAUUCGAUUAGUAGAAGCAAGGAAUUCAAGAUGAAAAGUUAUCUCAAGGACCAAAGCUAUUUGAAUCACAACUGGAAACUACCGAGGGAUUGUUCCUUCUCUGGGCUCCAGUGAAAGGCAGUGGUCAUCCUUGUCAUUCAGUAAAGGAUGGCACAGCACGCCACAGACUACGAG
Molecule: long non-coding RNA, 225 nt
Filed under: Bos indicus x Bos taurus (hybrid cattle)
Lineage: Eukaryota; Metazoa; Chordata; Mammalia; Artiodactyla; Bovidae
Description: lncRNA (ENSBIXG00000005603.1)
Source: RNAcentral